CUUUACUAUAACUUGGUAUUGUGCCGUGAAUCAUGUUGCGUAGGAUAGGUGGGAGACUAUGAUGUCUGGAUUUUGGUCUAGGCGGAGUCAACGGUGAAAUACCACCCUUUAUGAUUUACUGCACUCACCCGCUAUUGCGGGGACAGUGCUUGGUGGGUAGUUUAACUGGGGCGGUUGCCUCCUAAAAAGUAACGGAGGCGCGCAAUGGUUGGCUUAGACCGUAUGGAAAUCGGUCGUGACGUGUAUUCGCACAAGCCAGCCUGACUGAGAGACCUACAAGUCGAUCAGAGUCGAAAGACGGUGAAAAUGAACCGGCACACACGAAUGGAAGUGGUGUCGAUCAACGGAUAAAAGUUA
This 357-nucleotide ribosomal RNA is filed under the name uncultured organism. Its description in RNAcentral is "bacterial LSU rRNA". It matches the Rfam family "Bacterial large subunit ribosomal RNA", at positions 2099 to 2465 of the family's 2925-position model. The record is from RNAcentral.